UGAGAUGACACUGUAGCU
This 18-nucleotide microRNA is filed under the name Homo sapiens (human). RNAcentral describes it as "hsa-miR-4770". Lineage: Eukaryota; Metazoa; Chordata; Mammalia; Primates; Hominidae. The record is from miRBase by way of RNAcentral.